Molecule: long non-coding RNA, 927 nt
Filed under: Physcomitrium patens
Lineage: Eukaryota; Viridiplantae; Streptophyta; Bryopsida; Funariales; Funariaceae
Description: long non-coding RNA (PPAT_LNC004560)
Source: RNAcentral
AAAAAAAAAGAAUCUAAUAUUUUAAGAUUUGAAUAUGUAUAUUCUAUAGCUUUAAUUUUCUAAGUCUACUAUAAUUGUCGUUUUACCUAUUCUAUAAAUUCUUUUCAAAAUAAAACUAUAUAGGAAAAUUCAAACAUAGGGAAAGACUAAGCGCAUGAGCUUCACUUGUUAGGGUCACACAAUUAAUUGUAAUCCAAACCACUAAAACACCAAAACAUACUACAAUGCUUCCUUCCAGUAACAAUACUCCUUCAUCAACUGAUAACAACAUUGUGCAACCUCGCACUCUUAAAAGACUGGUCAAAACUCAUAAAUUCCCAUCUAACACCAAGAAAACAGACUUCAUUCCAACCAAUCUGGAUUCACAAAAUUUUUGUAAUCACAGACUUCCUCUGUCUAAAACACACACAAUUCUCGAUAAACAACAAUCAUAAUCUUUCAAUCAUAAUCAAUCUUCCAAUAACUUCUCAUAAAAUUCAAUCACAUAAUAUUCCAAUUACAUAAUCAAUAAUUCAUAAAUCAAUCUUUGAUUUAUUCCACAGACUCACUUCUCAGUAUUCAAAAACUAUCCAUUACUCUUCAACAACAAAAACAACAAAGAAAACAAAGAGGUAGCACCAAGCUUAAUCCCGGCUCAUGACUAUCAUAGUCUGGCCCCCCAACAAACUUCUACAACUCCUAUAUAAAUGCUACUGAUUUCUAGAUCCUAAUCGUAAUCCUAUAAUAAACCACUUUUAAUAACUAAAUCAACCAUCCGUCCUCCUGAACUCAUUAUUCUAUGGUCUAUUAAUCUAUUUUACCAAUAUCUUAGAAAAAUGAACUAAUAUCUAUUCUACAUAGCCCCACUCCUAUCUUUGCAGCAUCCUCGCAAAUAUACAAUUGAUUCCUAUCUAAAAACUACUUAACAAAACUCUACAAAGUUACUAG